Molecule: ribosomal RNA, 2565 nt
Filed under: Enterobacter hormaechei subsp. xiangfangensis
Lineage: Bacteria; Pseudomonadati; Pseudomonadota; Gammaproteobacteria; Enterobacterales; Enterobacteriaceae
Description: bacterial LSU rRNA
Rfam family: Bacterial large subunit ribosomal RNA
Source: RNAcentral
AGUCCCGUACACGAAAGCACACUUGCUGUGAACUCGAAGAGUAGGGCGGGACACGUGGUAUCCUGUCUGAAUAUGGGGGGACCAUCCUCCAAGGCUAAAUACUCCUGACUGACCGAUAGUGAACCAGUACCGUGAGGGAAAGGCGAAAAGAACCCCGGCGAGGGGAGUGAAAAAGAACCUGAAACCGUGUACGUACAAGCAGUGGGAGCCUCUUUAUGGGGUGACUGCGUACCUUUUGUAUAAUGGGUCAGCGACUUAUAUUCUGUAGCAAGGUUAACCGUAUAGGGGAGCCGAAGGGAAACCGAGUCUUAACUGGGCGUUAAGUUGCAGGGUAUAGACCCGAAACCCGGUGAUCUAGCCAUGGGCAGGUUGAAGGUUGGGUAACACUAACUGGAGGACCGAACCGACUAAUGUUGAAAAAUUAGCGGAUGACCUGUGGCUGGGGGUGAAAGGCCAAUCAAACCGGGAGAUAGCUGGUUCUCCCCGAAAGCUAUUUAGGUAGCGCCUCGUGAACUCAUCUUCGGGGGUAGAGCACUGUUUCGGCUAGGGGGCCAUCCCGGCUUACCAACCCGAUGCAAACUACGAAUACCGAAGAAUGUUAUCACGGGAGACACACGGCGGGUGCUAACGUCCGUCGUGAAGAGGGAAACAACCCAGACCGCCAGCUAAGGUCCCAAAGUCAUGGUUAAGUGGGAAACGAUGUGGGAAGGCACAGACAGCCAGGAUGUUGGCUUAGAAGCAGCCAUCAUUUAAAGAAAGCGUAAUAGCUCACUGGUCGAGUCGGCCUGCGCGGAAGAUGUAACGGGGCUAAACCAUGCACCGAAGCUGCGGCAGCGACACUUAUGUGUUGUUGGGUAGGGGAGCGUUCUGUAAGCCGUUGAAGGUGUGCUGUGAGGCAUGCUGGAGGUAUCAGAAGUGCGAAUGCUGACAUAAGUAACGAUAAAGCGGGUGAAAAGCCCGCUCGCCGGAAGACCAAGGGUUCCUGUCCAACGUUAAUCGGGGCAGGGUGAGUCGACCCCUAAGGCGAGGCCGAAAGGCGUAGUCGAUGGGAAACAGGUUAAUAUUCCUGUACUUGGUGUUACUGCGAAGGGGGGACGGAGAAGGCUAUGUCAGCCGGGCGACGGUUGUCCCGGUUUAAGCAUGUAGGCGGAGGUUCCAGGUAAAUCCGGUACCUUAUUAACGCUGAGGUGUGAUGACGAGGCACUACGGUGCUGAAGUGAUAAAUGCCCUGCUUCCAGGAAAAGCCUCUAAGCAUCAGGUAACACGAAAUCGUACCCCAAACCGACACAGGUGGUCAGGUAGAGAAUACCAAGGCGCUUGAGAGAACUCGGGUGAAGGAACUAGGCAAAAUGGUGCCGUAACUUCGGGAGAAGGCACGCUGAUGUGUAGGUGAAGCCCCUGCGGGCGGAGCUGAAAUCAGUCGAAGAUACCAGCUGGCUGCAACUGUUUAUUAAAAACACAGCACUGUGCAAACACGAAAGUGGACGUAUACGGUGUGACGCCUGCCCGGUGCCGGAAGGUUAAUUGAUGGGGUUAGCGGCAACGCGAAGCUCUUGAUCGAAGCCCCGGUAAACGGCGGCCGUAACUAUAACGGUCCUAAGGUAGCGAAAUUCCUUGUCGGGUAAGUUCCGACCUGCACGAAUGGCGUAAUGAUGGCCAGGCUGUCUCCACCCGAGACUCAGUGAAAUUGAACUCGCUGUGAAGAUGCAGUGUACCCGCGGCAAGACGGAAAGACCCCGUGAACCUUUACUAUAGCUUGACACUGAACACUGGUCCUUGAUGUGUAGGAUAGGUGGGAGGCUUUGAAGCGUGGACGCCAGUCUGCGUGGAGCCAACCUUGAAAUACCACCCUUUAAUGGCUGGUGUUCUAACGUAGACCCGUAAUCCGGGUUGCGGACAGUGUCUGGUGGGUAGUUUGACUGGGGCGGUCUCCUCCCAAAGAGUAACGGAGGAGCACGAAGGUUGGCUAAUCCUGGUCGGACAUCAGGAGGUUAGUGCAAUGGCAUAAGCCAGCUUGACUGCGAGCGUGACGGCGCGAGCAGGUGCGAAAGCAGGUCAUAGUGAUCCGGUGGUUCUGAAUGGAAGGGCCAUCGCUCAACGGAUAAAAGGUACUCCGGGGAUAACAGGCUGAUACCGCCCAAGAGUUCAUAUCGACGGCGGUGUUUGGCACCUCGAUGUCGGCUCAUCACAUCCUGGGGCUGAAGUAGGUCCCAAGGGUAUGGCUGUUCGCCAUUUAAAGUGGUACGCGAGCUGGGUUUAGAACGUCGUGAGACAGUUCGGUCCCUAUCUGCCGUGGGCGCUGGAGAAUUGAGGGGGGCUGCUCCUAGUACGAGAGGACCGGAGUGGACGCAUCACUGGUGUUCGGGUUGUCAUGCCAAUGGCACUGCCCGGUAGCUAAAUGCGGAAGAGAUAAGUGCUGAAAGCAUCUAAGCACGAAACUUGCCCCGAGAUGAGUUCUCCCUGAGACCUUGAGUCUCCUGAAGGAACGUUGAAGACGACGACGUUGAUAGGUCGGGUGUGUAAGCGCAGCGAUGCGUUGAGCUAACCGAUACUAAUGAACCGUGA